RNAcentral lists this long non-coding RNA (362 nucleotides) under Elaeis guineensis (African oil palm). Its description in RNAcentral is "long non-coding RNA (EGUI_LNC057333)". Lineage: Eukaryota; Viridiplantae; Streptophyta; Magnoliopsida; Arecales; Arecaceae. The record is from RNAcentral.
GAGUCCGCUACCGUAGAAGCCCGGAUGGAGACCGAUUGUUGUAGAAGUUCGGAGUAGAUCGCUUACUGUAGAAGUCCCACCGUUAGAGAAGCUCGAUCCUUGAUGAAGUCCGAAAGAAGUUCGGAGUAGAGAUCCUGCUGGUGGAACCUAUUCAUUGUAGAAGCUUGUCUGUGAUCCAUCCACUGUAGAAGUUCGGACAGAGCUUGGCCCUUAUAGGAGUUCGGAUGAAGUCCACCUGCAAUAGAAGUUUGGGGUAGAGAUCCGACUUUUGUAGGAAUUCAUCUGGAAUCCAUCCAUUGUAGAAGUUCGGACGGAGUCCGGCUCCUGUAGGAGUUCGGAGUAAAGUCGUUCGUGGCUGGAAG